Molecule: long non-coding RNA, 373 nt
Organism: Arachis duranensis
Lineage: Eukaryota; Viridiplantae; Streptophyta; Magnoliopsida; Fabales; Fabaceae
Exons: 2
Source: RefSeq, a predicted model, not a curated record
AGAAAACAACAAAAUAUAAUUUGAUUGUGACAAAAUGGCUACUAAUAGUGCGUCAAAGUUUUUCUUUUGUAUUCUUUUCGUGGCUUUAUUUUUUAUUUCAGACGCAAGCAGUGUCAAUAGGAAGUUGGAAAUUUGCGAUCCAGGAAUAUCAUGUGAUACUGGAUUUUGUCGCGUUGUAUGCAUCAUACUUAAUCACUAUCAACGUUGGGACUGUAAUCCCAAAAGUGGUUGCUGCUGCCAUAGUGAUGGUUAACUCCACUGCUCUUCCCCUUAUGUUGGUUCAUAUACAUGUAUUUUGAAUGAACACAUCUUUUUAUGUACUUCCUGAUAAAAAUAAACAAGUGGAGGAUCAAUAAAAUAAAAAAUUAUUAAA